RNAcentral lists this ribosomal RNA (253 nucleotides) under uncultured bacterium. RNAcentral describes it as "partial 16S ribosomal RNA". It matches the Rfam family "Bacterial small subunit ribosomal RNA", at positions 524 to 776 of the family's 1533-position model. The record is from RNAcentral.
UACGUAGGUGGCGAGCGUUGUCCGGAUUUACUGGGCGUAAAGGGCGUGCAGGCGGUUUGUUAAGUGCAGGGUGAAAGCUCCCGGCUCAACUGGGAGAGGUCCUUGCAUACUGGCGAACUCGAGGGAGGCAGAGGAAAGUGGAAUUCCCGGUGUAGUGGUGAUAUGCGUAGAUAUCGGGAGGAACACCGGUGGCGAAGGCGGCUCGCUGGGCUGUUGCUGACGCUGAGGCGCGAAAGCGUGGGGAGCAAACAGG